GAUGAACGCUGGCGGCGUGCUUAACACAUGCAAGUCGAACGAAGCAUUUGCGACAGAUUUUUUCGGAAUGAAGUUGCUUAUGACUGAGUGGCGGACGGGUGAGUAACGCGUGGGUAACCUGCCUUGUACUGGGGGAUAGCAGCUGGAAACGGCUGGUAAUACCGCAUAAGCGCACAAUGUUGCAUGACAUGGUGUGAAAAACUCCGGUGGUAUAAGAUGGACCCGCGUCUGAUUAGCUAGUUGGUGAGAUAACAGCCCACCAAGGCGACGAUCAGUAGCCGACCUGAGAGGGUGACCGGCCACAUUGGGACUGAGACACGGCCCAGACUCCUACGGGAGGCAGCAGUGGGGAAUAUUGCACAAUGGAGGAAACUCUGAUGCAGCGACGCCGCGUGAGUGAAGAAGUAAUUCGUUAUGUAAAGCUCUAUCAGCAGGGAAGAUAGUGACGGUACCUGACGAAGAAGCUCCGGCUAAAUACGUG
RNAcentral lists this ribosomal RNA (481 nucleotides) under uncultured bacterium. Its description in RNAcentral is "partial 16S ribosomal RNA". It matches the Rfam family "Bacterial small subunit ribosomal RNA", at positions 28 to 507 of the family's 1533-position model. The record is from RNAcentral.